GCGGCCUACGGGGCGCAGCAGUGAGGAAUAUUGGUCAAUGGGCGAGAGCCUGAACCAGCCAAGUCGCGUGAAGGAUGAAGGAUCUAUGGUUUGUAAACUUCUUUUAUAUGGGAAUAAAGUGAGGAACGUGUUCCUUUUUGUAUGUACCAUAUGAAUAAGCAUCGGCUAACUCCGUGCCAGCAGCCGCGGUAAUACGGAGGAUCCGAGCGUUAUCCGGAUUUAUUGGGUUUAAAGGGAGCGUAGAUGGGUUGUUAAGUCAGUUGUGAAAGUUUGCGGUUCAACCGUAAAACUGCAGUUGAAACUGG
Molecule: ribosomal RNA, 305 nt
Filed under: uncultured bacterium
Lineage: Bacteria
Description: bacterial SSU rRNA
Rfam family: Bacterial small subunit ribosomal RNA
Source: RNAcentral